GUGCAUAUGAUGAGUUUACUCGGAUUCCCCUUCAAGACUUCCUGGCUGAUGUGAAACCGAGAUUCUGAUGCA
Molecule: small nucleolar RNA, 72 nt
Organism: Lotus japonicus
Lineage: Eukaryota; Viridiplantae; Streptophyta; Magnoliopsida; Fabales; Fabaceae
Product: small nucleolar RNA snoR60
Exons: 1
Source: RefSeq, a predicted model, not a curated record